GAUCCUACGGGAGGCAGCAGUGAGGAAUAUUGGUCAAUGGGCUCACGCCUGAACCAGCCAAGUCGCGUGAGGGAAGACUGCCCUAUGGGUUGUAAACCUCUUUUGUCAGGGAGCAAUUGGCGCUACGUGUAGCGUUAUCGAGAGUACCUGAAGAAAAAGCAUCGGCUAACUCCGUGCCAGCAGCCGCGGUAAUACGGAGGAUGCGAGCGUUAUCCGGAUUUAUUGGGUUUAAAGGGUGCGUAGGCGGGAUGCCAAGUCAGCGGUAAAAAUGCGGUGCUCAACGCCGUCGAGCCGUUGAAAAUGGC
This 305-nucleotide ribosomal RNA is filed under the name uncultured bacterium. RNAcentral's name for it is "bacterial SSU rRNA". It matches the Rfam family "Bacterial small subunit ribosomal RNA", at positions 335 to 637 of the family's 1533-position model. The record is from RNAcentral.